AUGACACACAAUAUGGUUGAAAUGGCAAGGUCUGGACAGAGGUUUCUUACUGUGUAUUAUGAUCAUGGGCCCAAUGUGGUGGGGAAUGACAUGGACGAUGUCGUGAUAUAUCCCACUGCCGAGCUGCCUCCUGUCAUCAGUCCUCAAAAGCCAAGGAAUCAUAUGCACUCAAGUCCUGAAGAGAAGCCAGAAAGCCAGAUUGAUGAGGCAGAAAGUCAGCUUGAUGAUUCUGAUAGUAAUGAGAAGGUUGGCAGUGAGAAAGAUUCAGAUGAUCCGGAUUAUGAUGCCAUAGUUGAUAGUGACUAUGGUCUUGAAGAUGGCAAUAUUUGUGAUGAUGACUUUGACGAUUUUGCUGAUAAGAAGGGGAAGACAAAGUUAGCUGAAGAAGAACAAUCUGGUGAAGAAGAGCUCAAGUACCCAGAAUCAGAUGAUGAUGGACAAAUCAAGUUUAAUUUCAAAAUUUUCAGAGAAUGGGAUAUGAGUAGUCCAGUGUUCACUGUUGGACAAAAUUUUCCCAUUGUUGAUGUGUUGAGGACUUCUAUCAAGGAGUAUUCUUGCAAGGAGAGAGUAAACAUUAUGUUGAACCGGUAUGGGCCCUAG
Molecule: ribosomal RNA, 600 nt
Filed under: Triticum aestivum (bread wheat)
Lineage: Eukaryota; Viridiplantae; Streptophyta; Magnoliopsida; Poales; Poaceae
Description: partial small subunit ribosomal RNA
Source: RNAcentral